Non-coding RNA from Pelobates cultripes (western spadefoot toad), 401 nucleotides. Lineage: Eukaryota; Metazoa; Chordata; Amphibia; Anura; Pelobatidae. The record is from the annotation of a GenBank genome assembly.
GGGGGGUGUAUAUAUUUAUAGGGGGGGUGUGUAUAUUUAUAGGGGGUGUAUAUAUUUAUAGGGGGUGUAUAUAUUUAUAGGGGGGGUGUGUAUAUUUAUAGGGGGUGUAUAUAUUUAUAGGGGGUGUAUAUAUUUAUAGGGGGGGUGUAUAUAUUUAUAGAAUGUUAUAUUUCAGUCAGGCUGCUCUCACCCCCCGGUGUCUCUGUCUCGGUGUCUCUCCCUCUCCCGGUGUCUCGGUUCUCCCCCCGGUGUGUCUCUCUCUCUCUCUCUCUCUCUCUCUCUCGGGUGCGGCCUCCCAGCUCUCCCCGGCUUCCUGUUUCCGCCCCUCACUCAGUACGGCUGCCGGGGAGGGUCAAACUGCGCAGAGAGCGCAACUACGGAGUCCGGGAGGGGCACGCGGC